GUGGGGAAUCUUCCGCAAUGGACGAAAGUCUGACGGAGCAACGCCGCGUGAGUGAUGAAGGUCUUCGGAUUGUAAAGCUCUGUUAAUCGGGACGAAAGAGCCUAGUGUGAAUAAUGCUAGGAAGUGACGGUACCGGAAUAGAAAGCCACGGCUAACUACGUGCCAGCAGCCGCGGUAAUACGUAGGUGGCAAGCGUUGUCCGGAAUUAUUGGGCGUAAAGCGCGCGCAGGCGGAUCUGCCAGUCUGUCUUAAAAGUUCGGGGCUUAACCCCGUGAUGGGAUGGAAACUACAGAUCUAGAGGAUCGGAGAGGAAAGUGGAAUUCCUAGUGUAGCGGUGAAAUGCGUAGAUAUGGGGAGGAACACCAGUGGCGAAGGCGGCUUUCUGGACGGUGUCUGACACUGAGGCGCGAAAGCUAGGGGAGCGAACGGGAUUAGAAACCCUGGUAGUCC
RNAcentral lists this ribosomal RNA (450 nucleotides) under uncultured bacterium. RNAcentral describes it as "partial 16S ribosomal RNA". It matches the Rfam family "Bacterial small subunit ribosomal RNA", at positions 354 to 796 of the family's 1533-position model. The record is from RNAcentral.